This 362-nucleotide ribosomal RNA is filed under the name uncultured Arthrobacter sp. RNAcentral describes it as "bacterial SSU rRNA". It matches the Rfam family "Bacterial small subunit ribosomal RNA", at positions 1024 to 1384 of the family's 1533-position model. The record is from RNAcentral. Lineage: Bacteria; Bacillati; Actinomycetota; Actinomycetes; Micrococcales; Micrococcaceae.
CGGUCGGUUUACAGGUGGUGCAUGGUUGUCGUCAGCUCGUGUCGUGAGAUGUUGGGUUAAGUCCCGCAACGAGCGCAACCCUCGUUCUAUGUUGCCAGGACGUGAUGGUGGGGACUCAUAGGAGACUGCCGGGGUCAACUCGGAGGAAGGUGGGGACGACGUCAAAUCAUCAUGGCCCUUAUGUCUUGGGCUUCACGCAUGCUACAAUGGCCGGUACAAAGGGUUGCGAUACUGUGAGGUGGAGCUAAUUCCAAAAAGCCGGUCUCAGUUCGGAUUGGGGUCUGCAACUCGACCCCAUGAAGUCGGAGUCGCUAGUAAUCGCAGAUCAGCAACGCUGCGGUGAAUACGUUCCCGGGCCUUGU